UAUUCAUUUUGAUUUGAUUUUGCCUGCUUCAUAUAUUCGUCUCGCUUUCGGACAUGCUGUAAUCUGAUAUACUACUUCAUCAUAUUGACUAGUGGUUCCGUACAUCUUGCCUUCUUGGACCGUCAAUGGUGUAUACUUACUGACGAAGAUAACAUCUAGCUAUCGGACAUGCUGUAAUCUGACAUACUACUUCAUCAUACUCAACUAGUGGUUACUUACAUCGUGCCUUCUUGGAGCGUCAAUGGUGUAUACUUCUUGGUGAAAACAACUUAAGCGGUUCCUUAACUAGCUGGGUUAUGAAAUAAUUUCAGUGCAUUCUUAAAUUCUUGUUCAGGUGGAGAUAACCCCUUUUACGGAAACACACGAACUGUACCGAGAGUGUUAACACUACACGUCCGGUAACCGCACUAAACACCAUAUAUUCCUAUUUGAAUCCAAGUAAAAUGAGUAUAUUUUUCGAGACUCUACCUUUAAUCGGAUAUAUAAAUAGUGCGCUAUAAAUAGCCUACAGAACAGAAUUAUGUCAUCACCUGAGUACUAGUCGAAAUAAUUACACGUUCAUACAUGUAUUGUUUUAUAUUUGUGACGCUGACGGGCAAUCUAAAUGGGGAUAUUGCCCGUAUGAAAAAAAUAUCACAAUAGAUCUAUUUCCUAUAGGAUCGCGUCAAAUUAGUUGGACUACUGUUACUUAUUCAAAGGAGACAUGAUAUUGAACAUUUUGAGAAAUAGCACUGUGGUCAGCAUUUGUCUCACGUGAACUGUGGAGACAUUUGGAUACUGUACCUGAAUGUUCAUCACAAAGUGCUGGUGUUUUGAUAUCUACAAGAGCAGACGGCAACAGAAUUGGAGGUUACCCAAAUCUAAAGAUGUUGAGGAGUACAAGAAACAACAAAAAAAGCUAUGAAAAACAAAUGAAAUUAAAACAACGUGAAAUUAUAUUGAAUCAUGGCCCUGGGUUCCAGACCGUUCGACAACAACGAAAAAAAAGAAGAUUUUUUUAGCUCACCAGAGCACAAAGUGCUUAAGGUGAGCUAUUGUGAAUGACCGGCGUCCGUCGGCGUGCGUCUUGCGUAAACAUUUGCCUUGUGAACACUCUAGAGGCCACAUUUAUGACCCAAUCUUUAUGAAUCUUGGUCAGAAUGUUAGUCUUGAUGAUCUCUAGGUCAAGUUUGAAAGUGGGUUAUGUGGGGUCAAAAACUAUGUCAGUAGGUUAGAUCAAAGAAAAUGCUUGUGAACACUCUAGAGACCACAUUUUUGACCCAAUCUUUAUGAAAAUGUGAGUCUUGAUAAUCUCUAGGUCAAGUUUGAAACUGGGUCAUGUGGAGUUAAAACCUAGGUCAGUAGGUUAGAUCAAAUAAAACGCUUGUUAACACUCUAGAGACCACAUUUUUAACCCAAUCUUUACAAAACUUGGUCAGAGUGUUAGUCUUGAUGAUCUCUAGGUCAAGUUUGAAACUGGAUCAUGUGGGAUCAAAAACUAGAUCACCAGGUCAGAUCAAAGGAAAAGCAACAUUUGUGUACCAAUGUUUUUGAAACUUGGUCAGAAUGUUAGUCUUGAUUAUCUUUAGGUCAAGAUUGAAUCUGGGUCAUGUUAGAUCAAAAAAUGGGUCAGUACGUCAGAUCAAUGGAAAACCUUGUGAACACUCUAGAGAUCACAUUUAUGACCCAAUCUUUAUGAAACUUUGUUAGAAUGUUAGUCUUGAUGAUCUCUAGGUCAGUUUCGAAACUGGGUCAUGUUGGAUCAUAAACUAGGUCACCUGGUCAAAUCAGAUGAAAAGUUUGUGAACACUCUAAAGGCCAUAGUUGUGUCCCAAUAUUUAUGAAACAUAGUCAGAAAGUUUGACUUGAUGAUUUCUAGGUCAAAUUUGAAUCUAGGUCAUGUGGGGUCAAAAGCUAUAAACGACAGUGUCUACUUGUAGUAGGGAGCACAAUGCCUAACUUUAUAGUGCUGCCUCACUGGAAUAUCACGCCGUAUACACGUGGCAUGAUACCCCACCCAGUCACAUUAUACUGACACCGGGCUGACCAGUCCUAGCACUAUCCUCUUAAUGCUGAACGCCUAGCGAGAAAGCUUCUAGUACCAUUUUUACGUCUUUGGUAUGACGCGGCUGGGGAUUGAACCCACGACCUCCCGCACUCAAAGUGGACGCUCUACCACUAGGCUACCGAGGCGGUAGGCCACAGUUGUAACUUAAUCUUUAUGAAACUGGGUCGAAUGUUUGUCUUAAUCAUUUCUAGGUCAGGGUCGAAUCUGGGUCAUGUGGGGUCAAAAACUAGGUCACCCGGUCAAAUCAAAGGAAAAGCUUGUGAAAUCUCUAGAGGCCACAGUUGUAACCAAAUCUUAAUGAAAUUUAAUCAAUAUGUUUGUGACGAUCUUUAGGUCAACUUCAACUCUUGGUCAUGUGGGGUCAAAAACUAGGUCAGUAGGCCAGAUAAACUCUUUUGAGCGAUAUAUAGGGCCAUGGCCCUCUUGUUUUUGCUACAUAUCUGGAAAUUAAUGCUAUGUUUCUGAAAAAUGCUUUGAAACUUAAUUCUGACAGACUAUCAUGAAAACAUGUGAGAAAUAGUUGUUUUUACUAAUUUUACGAUGAAAAUCGAAAAGCGUUUGUUACGCUUUGCUCGAGGUAAAGAAAAGUAUUUUUGGAGGUCAGUGCCUUCAAUUUUAUAAAAGACAAUUCAACACACAUUUCUGUCGGGAUCUAACUUUAUGUGAUGGACCUUUUUAUCUCGGACAAAGUAUAUGAUACGCGAAAAAGGUGCUGCAAUGUUGCUUAAAUGAGCAUGCAUAUCUUUAACAGUCUGCAAAUAAAAGAUAGAUUUUAAGAAGUUAUUCAUUUAUAUCAUACUGUAUAAUAAUAGAUUUAUGCUAUGUCAUUUUCAAAGAGAAUUUAUAUGUGUUUCCUUUUAUUUGUUAACUAUCUGUUUGUGUUGGCAUAAUAAACAAUUAUGAAUAUAAAAAUAUAAAGAUGA
This is a long non-coding RNA of Mercenaria mercenaria, 2970 nucleotides long. RefSeq lists it as uncharacterized. The record is from RefSeq and is a predicted model, not a curated record. NCBI's taxonomy places the organism in Eukaryota, Metazoa, Mollusca, Bivalvia, Venerida, Veneridae. The transcript has 3 exons.